RNAcentral lists this ribosomal RNA (326 nucleotides) under uncultured eukaryote. RNAcentral describes it as "partial 18S ribosomal RNA". It matches the Rfam family "Eukaryotic small subunit ribosomal RNA", at positions 1470 to 1796 of the family's 1831-position model. The record is from RNAcentral.
CCCUUAGAUGUUCUGGGCUGCACGCGCGCUACACUGAUGCGCUCAACGAGUUUAUGACCUUGCCCGGAAGGGUUGGGUAAUCUUUUUAAAACGCAUCGUGAUGGGGAUAGAUUAUUGCAAUUAUUAAUCUUCAACGAGGAAUUCCUAGUAAGCGCGAGUCAUCAGCUCGUGCUGAUUACGUCCCUGCCCUUUGUACACACCGCCCAUCGCUCCUACCGAUUGAGUGAUCCGGUGAAUAAUUCGGACUGCAGCAGUGUUCAGUUCCUGAACGUUGCAGCGGAAAGUUUAGUGAACCUUAUCACUUAGAGGAAGGAGAAGUCGUAACA